RNAcentral lists this ribosomal RNA (253 nucleotides) under uncultured bacterium. Its description in RNAcentral is "partial 16S ribosomal RNA". It matches the Rfam family "Bacterial small subunit ribosomal RNA", at positions 524 to 776 of the family's 1533-position model. The record is from RNAcentral.
UACAGAGGUCCCGAGCGUUGUUCGGAUUCACUGGGCGUAAAGAGCUCGUAGGCGGCUUGUCGCGUCGACUGUGAAAACCCGCGGCUCAACUGUGGGCUUGCAGUCGAUACGGGCAGGCUGGAGUUCGGUAGGGGAGACUGGAAUUCCUGGUGUAGCGGUGAAAUGCGCAGAUAUCGGGAGGAACACCAAUUGCGAAGGCAGCUCGCUGGGACGUCACUGACGCUGAGACGCGAAAGCGUGGGGAGCAAACAGG